AGGACAGGAAUUUGCUUAAAGAAGUCAAAAUUUGGGAGAUUUGGGAUUACACAGCUUAAAAUGUAAACUGAAAGGAGAGAUAGAAAAGAAAAGGAAACUUUACUUAAAAUAGUUCUCCUUAGACUGGCUAACAGUUACAUAGGUAGCAGCAAUAUUUUGAAAAGGUUGGCCUUUGAGUCAGAUCUGAAUUCCAAUUCUUUCUGCUGUUAGCUGUGUGUCAUUGGAUGAAUUACUCAAUCUCUCUGAAAAUUAGUUAUCAUUUUUCAUAAAGAUGAACCCAUGUUCUAUAACAUUGCAUGUUCCUGCUCAAGUGCUUAAGCAUAAAAUGGAAAGAGUCUCUUAAUACCCUGGAGGAAGACACAGUUGUAAGGGCUGUAUUGUCAGUUAUAAAUAAUGGGAGGGGUUUUGUUUUAUUUUAUUUUAUUUUAUUUUAGUUGCCUUUUAGGGCUGCACCUGCGGCAUAUGGAAGUUCCCAGGCUAGGGGUCAAAAUGAAGCGGCAGCUGCCAGCCUGUGCCACAGCCACAGCAACACCAGAUCUGAGCUGCAUGGGAGACCUACACCACAGCUCAUGGCAACUCCAGAUCCUUAACCCACUGAGCAAGACCAGGAAUUGAACCUGUGUCCUCAUGGAUACUUGUCGGGUUUGUUACUGCUGAGCCACAACGGGAACUAUAAAGAGGGGCUAUAUUUUAAAUAAUAAAAAUACUUUAUUAUCUUACAGAACAAGGAGUGUGAUGCUAGGUCACUUCCAGUUAGUUCAGGGGCUCUGUAAUGUUAAUGAGCCAGGUCGGUGUCUGUUUGGGCUGUUUCCUUAAGAUUUAAAGGGCUGCUGCAGCUUGAAGGAUAUCCUUAGGAGACAGAAAGUUUAGAGAAGGGCAAAGGGUUUUUUUUCUCCUCACAUUCUUCUUUCUUUUAUCAGGGAAGACACUCCUUCCCAGAAGUUCCCAGCAACUGUCAUUUAUCUUAGCUACAAGGAGUGGUGGGAAGUAAGUAUACAGCCUUUUGAGCCUCAGUCUUGGAGGCAGGCUCCACCAGGAGGAAGUAGAGGAUAGAACUGACUAUUGGGUAAACAGCUCCAGAGAUCAAGUAACUAAAGGAGUACGUUUAGAGCAGAUAUUUUCAUUCGUCUUCAACACAUGGUGCUACCAGGCAACAGUAAGCAACUCCAGAAUAUUUUUACUUAAAUCUGAAGUGUAGACUUUUCAUUUAGGUUACUGAAUAAGGGUUACCAUUUCCUACUAUGUACUGGACACUUUACAAACAUCAGCUUAUUUACAUUUCCCAAUAACAUCUCAUAAAGUAGGUAGUAUCAUUCCUCUAUUACAGAGAUCUAGAGAUGUAUAGCAAGUUGCAUAAGGCCCCCUAGCAAGUAAGUGUCUGAGUUGGGAUUUGAAGCCAGAUUUUUCUGACUCCUCUGUUUGUUGUACUUCUUUGCCUCCACCAUGCUCAUCUUCAAAUGCCUACCUACCCCAGGCAGGAAAGAUGGGCUUCCUCUUAGAUGCAGUCAGAUGACCAGAUGACUAACUCUGAGGCCCUUUCUCGCACAGUCAUCUAUGAAGCAAGAGUCCUUUGGUGGCUUGGAGAGAUCCGUUAGUUAUUUUUUUCCCAUUGACCUAAAGCCAUUUAAAAAUGUGCUUAGGUAUGAUUCAGUGAUUCUGAAUACUUUUUUUCUUCCAUUUUUAAUUUUUCUCUCUGACUGCUCCACUCUUGUUUGCAGCUCCUGUGGCUGGAUAAAGCCUGGCAAGUCUUUGGAUGUCAAUCAUUUUGAAGGGUGACUUUCUUGCAUGACUUGGUUAGAUCUGAAAGGAGGAUAGCUACAAUGGGGAGGCUGCGGUGAGGCGUCCCAGGCAGCUGGCAGUCUUGAGCAUCCAAAUGUAAUUGCUCUCUUUUAUUCACCACAGCCUGCCCGCUGUGUUCAUCAGACUGCCCAGUGAACAGAAGGUAAUCAGGGCUGAGACGGCCUCAGAAAGUCAGGCACGUACAACCAAAGUUAAAAAUUAUGUAAAAAAAAUGACUUGGAUGUGAUUUGCUCUCAUAGAACUCAAUUUCUGGAUAAGAACAAGACGAAACAGUGCAAAACUGGGACACUAAAAUUCAUUUUGGCCCACGAAAAUGCAGGGAGUGCUGUGAACAUUUAAUAACGUUGGUAUCUAACCACCCAUAGUAAGUGCUUGCUUAAUGCAUAGACAAGACAGGGAGAUUCAGAAAGCAGGCAACUCAGGGCAUUUCCAAUUUAUUUAAGGAACUCUUUGAUCUGUUUUGAAAUUUAGGAUUCUGCUUUUGACUUUACUAGAUAAAGUUGGAGUAGAAAUGAAUUAUUCAUAUGAAAUAUUGCCUCAAUAACACUGCAUCAAAUAAACAUAAUGAAAAGCUGCCCAUGUUAUAUAAGGGAAGCUAAGUCACAACUCUUUUGAAUUGCAAAGUUAAGCACUAGGGGCUAGACUCUUCUCCAACAUUACUCUGUGGAAGAAUCCACCUAGGAGGAUGUAACACUCAGAUCCUUUUUAUUUCCGGUCAGACAUGCAUUUGUGGUUUAUGGGUUUAAACUUCAGUUGUAACCAUGGUGUUAUUAAAUCUCACAGUCCUCAUCAUGAUUCUAUCCAAGUCACUGGAGGCCUGAGAGCAAUUUCCAGGACAAUGUAGCAUUUUAAGUUUACCACAGAAAUAUGGUAAAACCAGUAUGUUCCCCCUUCCUCCAUGAAUUGUGCGUAGUACAAUAUUUUCAGCAACCACUGAAAGCACACCUAUAUCCAUGCCUUGAAGGCAAAUGGAAACAUCAGUUAUCACCAGUGUUUCUUUUCUGACCAUGCUUUGGAUAAUAGAUUAAAGAGAGAGAAGGAUAAACUAAACCUAAACAGUACAUGUCUGGGGAAUUUAGCUCUGCUGAAAUUCAAUAGAUAGCACUUGAAUUCUUGCUGACAAUCCAACUUUAAAGAAUGGUAGUUCAAUAAAGGUAUAAGUUUCAGAAGCCGCCUUGGACAAAAUGGUAAGGAGGGCAGAUUCUGUCUUAAGAUUUGCUUUUGUCCCCAGGCCUUCCUUUCUUCUUUCCUCCUUCAAGCAUAUCUAUCAUCAUGUGCUAGAUACCAGGCACCAGGCUAAGCUCUGAGAUUCAAUAGCAAACAAGAUGGCAUUUGCCCUCAGAGAGCUGUGUGUUUUAGAGAGGAAGAGAGGCACUAUGAAAAGUACUUACCAAACAUGUGCAAUGAGCAUGAGGUCCAGGGAAUUGCAAGGUGUCAUGGGAGUGUGUGGAUGGGUGUCCCAAGUGUCCAAGAAGAUGUCCUUGAGGAAGGGCAAUGUAAGCCAAGACUAGAAGCCUGUAUAAGCUGGGAGAUAGGGGUGUUGGUGGAGGCUUAGGAGAGUGUUUCGUGGAUAGGAAACAGCCUGGGCAGAGGCCUAGAGGUGACAUAGAGUGUAAAUUGUUGUAGAACUUGAAAGGAGUUUUCUCUGCCUGGGGCUAAUAUUUCCAAGAGGGAGAUGGGAGAGAGGAUUUAAGAAGAGAUGAGAUUAUAGAGUUUAUGUUAGAGAAGAACUUUAUGCUCAGUGUAGUUUGGGAGUUACUGAGGGUUUUCAGCAGGGGUGUGGCAUGGUGAGAUUAAUAUUUUGGAAAGAUCACUGGUGACAUUUUAAAGCAGUGAUUGGAACGGAACAAGAAUGAGGCAGAGAGAUGCCCGGGAAGCUGCUGUAGUCAUCUGCUGAGGGAUGGCUGUGGCCUAGGGCAGGGAAGGACUGUGGGAUGAAGAAGAAUCCAGGAGGUACUAUCAGCAAGACUCGGUGACUGAUUGAUGUGAGGGGCGACCAGGAUACCCUUAGGAAAACUCUCUAUCAGACGAUGGAGAUUAAGCUCGUUAAGAGAACUGAGCAUAUUUAGUCAGGGAAGGUAAAGGGAAGAGGAUACAUGAGAGAGAUUUUCGAAUAUUUAGUGUAGCAUCACUUAAAAAAUGUUUUGUUUAAAUUUAUUGUCUCCCUUUGAGUGGCCAGCUAAGAGUGUAUCUGUUAAAAUAUUAUGUGGCCAAAGACAAUGAGUUGAGUGUAGGUGUUCCCUGAACUCAUGCACUGAAUCCUAGAAGCGGGAGAGGCCUGGGAAUAUGUCCCAGUCCAAAUAGUCUCCACCAAGAACCAGGGAUGGGAAAGAGGAAUUAGGGGUAUGAGACAAAGGGCAGCUGACCUCCAGCUCUCGGCUGCAUUUGUUGGGUAUACAAGGGUGCAAAGUAAAUGCUUCUCUAACUGAGCCACACAGUGGGGCUUCAGAGGGUAGGGUUAAAGUUACAAGGCAGCAGAUAUUAGGAAGUGACAAGGACGAACUUUCUGACAGUGUCUGACAGUCGUUUCAGUGAGGUGAAUGCCUUAUUCCUGGCUGUGUUCAGGUGGAUCUGGCCAUACAUCUGUCAGGCGGGCUUCUUUCUUGUUGAGGUCCACAUCACAUGAUCUCUAUUGUCCCUAAUGCCUAACUCUAAAUAAAUGAUUUGAAGAAAUUACACUCCCUACCAGUGAGGGGAAGCUGUCCAUUUCUCACUCACAUGGUACAACCACAAGUCAGUAUGAGGAGCGCAAGAUUAUUAUUAGAGGAGCUUUGAGUCUCUCCAAAGAGUAUCAUUCUUGUGUGAUUCCGGAUGCUUGCCAUCUUAUAGCUGUGUGACCCUGUGGUCUCUAGACAUUGCCUCAGCUUCUCUAAGUGAAAUAGGAAAGAGAAUUCUCAUUAUAUCAAAUGAAAGCAAUCCACUUUGGUUUUAUAAGUUAACGCAUGAUUAUCAGUUUGGGAAAAACCAUGAGGAAAUAUCCAGAGGAAAAUAUUAUAUCAAUUCUGCCUUUAGCUCGACUACCUCACAAUAAAGAGGCAGAGUGUCAAUCUGAUGUUAGGGCUUAAAGUGAGCAUGAGUUAUAUGUGUUGCUUACAACUCCUUUGGAAACCACUUAGGUGCUCUUUAUAGUAUGAACAAAGGCUACUGAAGACCCUCCUAAAACUGCCAAAUUUGUUUUACUUAUGUCCAAAUUUUUACCCAGGUUUGCUAAGUAAAUAGAAGCCUGUUACCUCUUUUAUCACCUCUCUUUCUCAGGGUUAUACUUUUAAAAGCAUUCUCAACAGGAAAUAAGUUUCAUUAGUACUUGGGAAAUAAAUUGGUGAUGUGACAGAUUCUGUGGUUUGAUGGAAGCUCAAUUAUAAUUGUAUAACAUAAUAUAGCAAGUGCAGAUGAAAUCCUAUUAAGGUCUGGAAAUCCAAUAUCUCAUCUCUAUGACUUUUAAUUGAUCCUUACACAUAUUGUCAUUGCAGUCAAAUAUCUGAGCUGAUUCUAGUACACGUAAACAAAUGUAAGCACAUUAACUCUGUUAAUAAUUUCAACAAGUAAUCUGUAUUUCCCAUUAGACUGUCUCCAGUUUUGCCUUGGCAUAAUUAAAGAUAUCAGCAGUGAUAAGCCUAAUGUGUUAUUUAAAGUACGCAUGUAUUGAAGUCUUGCUUUUAUCAUUAACUACAUCAUGAUGUAAUCUGCAUAGCCAUCAUUCAGACCCUCUCUUGCUCGGAAGCGGGUGGGAGAAGGAGGCCCCAUGGAGUUGUGUUAAAGCUAUAGAGGAAGGGUAGCAAGUCUGAGUUCCAGUCUUGACUUUGCCACUCAAAUACCCAUGUGACAUCUUUGGCCUUUCUGAUGCUGUUUCAUCACCUCCCCUUACAAAGAGAUGGUCCUACUUUUUUCUCUUAGUGCUAACAUUCUGGUUUCUGCAACACUGAUUCUGUAUUUUGUUAAUAAUUGAGGGCUGAAUACAAAAACUGUUGCCUUCAUGUUCAUUUUUUGCUCAAAUUUCAUACAGCUGGACAAUGAAAGUUCAGGUGUGUCUGUCUGGAGACGUGAUCAGGGGAUAUGUUUCUUUUGCUGAUUGUCAUAUCUGCAACAUCAAGCUCAGUGCCUGGAAUUUACUUGAUCAGUAUUUGUUGGAUGAAUGAAAGGAUGAAUGCAUUCUAAUCAUUCUGCCUUCCCAAAGAGAUGGAUUAGAGAGAUUGGCUGGCAUCCCCUCUCAGCAUCCCUUGUUUUAUCAUCCUUCAGUUGGAUGAAAUUAUCAUGAAGUCACCUCUGAAAGUACACCUUUAAUGACAUGACAUGACAUGCCAUGGCACUGAAUGCCUUCUCCCAUCCUUAAUGAAAUGAAAGUGAAUCAGAACAAACUACUCUCUUCCAGCCUGUUCCCCAUACUCGGCUUGUUGGUCAAGGGCAAGCAGAGACUUCAUUUGUCAGUUUCUAGCUUGCUCGAAGUGGGAACCUAGCGUGUGCUACAAAUAUGACAUUUGAGAAUGUUUUUUGAAUACUCAGAAAACAUUGAAGUCUAAACCAUGCUGUAAACAAAAACAACUUUUAAUAUCAGCUCUGACUAAUCCAGUGUUUUUGUUCAUUAAGUAGAACAAACAUUCUGAUUUGCAAUCAAAUAUCUACAGUUAUAAUGAAAGCCUGAGAAAAAUCCUCCCUGGCAGGAGAUCUUAUCUCAGCACACAGAACAGAUAAGAUUCCUUCCUUGAUAGACAUUCUCCACGCCUAGGUGAUUCCAGUAAACAGUCUUUCUGGAGUGAUUUUUAGCAAAUGGGUGGCUUAUUCAUGGGUUUAUCUAUUUAAGUUCAUCACUUUCUGAAAUCGUCUUUGCAUAUAUUAGCAUAUAUUCGUUUCACUGAUUCUUUGUUUCUUUGAUGGGGGAUACUCUGUCUGCUCCUUAUUUCAUCUGAUUUGCUUUUGAAGCAAAGAAUCUUUUUCUUCUUUAGGUGUCCUUUGAAAAUAAAUAGAAUUUCCUGUAC
Molecule: long non-coding RNA, 6773 nt
Filed under: Sus scrofa (pig)
Lineage: Eukaryota; Metazoa; Chordata; Mammalia; Artiodactyla; Suidae
Description: lncRNA (ENSSSCG00000060055.1)
Source: RNAcentral